This 62-nucleotide transfer RNA is filed under the name Ovis aries (sheep). The record is from Rfam by way of RNAcentral. Lineage: Eukaryota; Metazoa; Chordata; Mammalia; Artiodactyla; Bovidae.
CCCCUACUAUGAAGAAUCUGCCUGAAAUGCAGGAGACCCAGGUUCAAUUCCUGGGUUGGGAA